Molecule: ribosomal RNA, 257 nt
Filed under: uncultured bacterium
Lineage: Bacteria
Description: partial 16S ribosomal RNA
Rfam family: Bacterial small subunit ribosomal RNA
Source: RNAcentral
CGGACGGGUGAGUAACACGUGGGCAACCUGGCUCUAAGAGGGGGACAACAGUUGGAAACGACUGCUAAUACCGCAUAACGUAUCGGGAUGGCAUCUUCCUGAUACCAAAGAUUUUAUCGCUUAGAGAUGGGCUCGCGUCUGAUUAGAUAGUUGGCGGGGUAACGGCCCACCAAGUCGACGAUCAGUAGCCGGACUGAGAGGUUGAACGGCCACAUUGGGACUGAGACACGGCCCAGACUCCUACGGGAGGCAGCAUG